This 585-nucleotide ribosomal RNA is filed under the name uncultured bacterium. Its description in RNAcentral is "bacterial SSU rRNA". It matches the Rfam family "Bacterial small subunit ribosomal RNA", at positions 224 to 806 of the family's 1533-position model. The record is from RNAcentral.
GAUGGGCAUGCGUUCCAUUAGGUAGUUGGUGAGGUAACGGCUCACCAAGCCGACGAUGGAUAGGGGAACUGAGAGGUUGGUCCCCCACACUGGUACUGAGACACGGACCAGACUCCUACGGGAGGCAGCAGUGAGGAAUAUUGGUCAAUGGGCGGGAGCCUGAACCAGCCAAGUCGCGUGAAGGAAGAAGGAUCUAUGGUUCGUAAACUUCUUUUGCAGGGGAAUAAAGUGCAGGACGUGUCCUGUUUUGUAUGUACCCUGAGAAUAAGGAUCGGCUAACUCCGUGCCAGCAGCCGCGGUAAUACGGAGGAUCCGAGCGUUAUCCGGAUUUAUUGGGUUUAAAGGGUGCGUAGGUGGUUUGAUAAGUCAGCGGUGAAAGUUUGCAGCUUAACUGUAAAAGUGCCGUUGAAACUGUCGGACUUGAGUGUAAAUGAGGUAGGCGGAAUGCGUGGUGUAGCGGUGAAAUGCAUAGAUAUCACGCAGAACUCCGAUUGCGAAGGCAGCUUACUAAGCUACAACUGACACUGAAGCACGAAAGCGUGGGGAUCAAACAGGAUUAGAUACCCUGGUAGUCCACGCAGUAAA